RNAcentral lists this transfer-messenger RNA (378 nucleotides) under Acidobacteriota bacterium. Its description in RNAcentral is "Acidobacteria bacterium transfer-messenger RNA". It matches the Rfam family "transfer-messenger RNA". Rfam says of the family: Bacterial tmRNA, also known as 10Sa RNA or SsrA, is named for its dual tRNA and mRNA-like properties. RNAcentral also lists the same sequence under 2 other names. Lineage: Bacteria; Pseudomonadati; Acidobacteriota. The record is from RNAcentral.
GGGGGCGACAGGCUUCGACAGGGGCCAUGAUCGUUGACAGGAUGCAUGUCGGGCUUACUCAUUUGCAGCUCGUUAAAAAGCAUUUGGGAAAAACAAUUGCCAAUAAAACAGAAUUGGCUCUCGCUGCCUAAUUAAGCACCGAGCGUCUCGCAAGCAAGUUGUUCAUGCGCGCUUGAGGAGAUGUCACCUUAGAUGAACUGGCUCGCCUUUUCGGUCCGUGAAGGCGAGCGAGAUUAAAGUCGGACUAGCACACGGCAGAGGUCUUCGUCGCUUCACUUACUCUGCCGCGAGCGAAAUCUGAAAAGAGAAGCGGCUAAGCAUGUAGAUUCCUUCGGCGUCGGCGCUUGGAUCAGGGUUCAAUUCCCUGCGCCUCCACCA